This 560-nucleotide ribosomal RNA is filed under the name uncultured organism. RNAcentral's name for it is "SSU rRNA". It matches the Rfam family "Bacterial small subunit ribosomal RNA", at positions 253 to 803 of the family's 1533-position model. The record is from RNAcentral.
GAAGGUAAACGGCUCCCCUAGGCGACGAUACAUAGCCGACCUGAGAGGGGUGAUCGGCCACACUGGGACUGAGACACGGCCCAGACUCCUACGGGAGGCAGCAGUAGGGAAUCUUCGGCAAUGGGGGCAACCCUGACCGAGCAACGCCGCGUGAGUGAAGAAGGUUUUCGGAUCGUAAAGCUCUGUUGUAAGUCAAGAACGAGUGUGAGAGUGGAAAGUUCACACUGUGACGGUAGCUUACCAGAAAGGGACGGCUAACUACGUGCCAGCAGCCGCGGUAAUACGUAGGUCCCGAGCGUUGUCCGGAUUUAUUGGGCGUAAAGCGAGCGCAGGCGGUUUGAUAAGUCUGAAGUUAAAGGCUGUGGCUCAACCAUAGUUCGCUUUGGAAACUGUCAAACUUGAGUGCAGAAGGGGAGAGUGGAAUUCCAUGUGUAGCGGUGAAAUGCGUAGAUAUAUGGAGGAACACCGGUGGCGAAAGCGGCUCUCUGGUCUGUAACUGACGCUGAGGCUCGAAAGCGUGGGGAGCGAACAGGAUUAGAUACCCUGGUAGUCCACGCCGU